RNAcentral lists this ribosomal RNA (254 nucleotides) under uncultured bacterium. RNAcentral's name for it is "partial 16S ribosomal RNA". It matches the Rfam family "Bacterial small subunit ribosomal RNA", at positions 524 to 776 of the family's 1533-position model. The record is from RNAcentral.
UACAGAGGGGGCAAGCGUUAUUCGGAAUUACUGGGCGUAAAGGGCGCGUAGGCGGUCAGCACAAGUCAGUUGUGAAAUCUCCGGGCUUAACUCGGAAAGGUCAACUGAUACUGUGCGACUAGAGUGCAGAAGGGGCAACUGGAAUUCUCGGUGUAGCGGUGAAAUGCGUAGAUAUCGAGAGGAACACCUGCGGCGAAGGCGGGUUGCUGGGCUGACACUGACGCUGAUGCGCGAAAGCCAGGGGAGCGAACGGG